Molecule: ribosomal RNA, 228 nt
Filed under: Triticum aestivum (bread wheat)
Lineage: Eukaryota; Viridiplantae; Streptophyta; Magnoliopsida; Poales; Poaceae
Description: partial small subunit ribosomal RNA
Source: RNAcentral
AUGCAGAUUUUCAUCAAGACCCUCACCGGGAAGACGAUCCCGCUUGAGGUGGAGAGCAGCGACACCAUUCGCGACGUCAAGGCCAUGAUCCAGGCCAAGGAGGGCUUCCCUCCGCACCAUCAGCGGUUCAUCUUCCAUGCAAAGAACCUGGAGGAGCAGUGCACCCUGGCGGACCUCAACAUCCAGAACGGGUCGACGCUGCACCUGAUUACCCGCCGCCCGGAGUAA